RNAcentral lists this ribosomal RNA (254 nucleotides) under uncultured bacterium. RNAcentral describes it as "partial 16S ribosomal RNA". It matches the Rfam family "Bacterial small subunit ribosomal RNA", at positions 524 to 776 of the family's 1533-position model. The record is from RNAcentral.
UACGAAGGGUGCAAGCGUUACUCGGAAUUACUGGGCGUAAAGCGUGCGUAGGUGGUGAGUUAAGUCUGUCGUGAAAUCCCUCGGCUUAACCGGGGAACUGCGUCUGAUACUGGAUGGCUUGAGUUUGGGAGAGGGAUGCGGAAUUCCAGGUGUAGCGGUGAAAUGCGUAGAUAUCUGGAGGAACACCGGUGGCGAAGGCGGCAUCCUGGACCAACACUGACGCUGAGUGAGCGAAAGCCAGGGGAGCAAACGGG